AGAGUUUGAUCAUGGCUCAGAUUGAACGCUGGCGGCAUGCUUUACACAUGCAAGUCGAACGGCAGCACGGGAGCUUGCUCCUGGUGGCGAGUGGCGAACGGGUGAGUAAUGCACCGGAACGUACCCAGUAAUGGGGGAUAACACAUCGAAAGAUGUGCUAAUACCGCAUACGCCCUGAGGGGGAAAGCGGGGGAUCGUAAGACCUCGCGUUAUUGGAGCGGCCGAUGCCGGAUUAGCUAGUUGGUGAGGUAAGAGCUCACCAAGGCGACGAUCCGUAGCUGGUCUGAGAGGACGACCAGCCACACUGGGACUGAGACACGGCCCAGACUCCUACGGGAGGCAGCAGUGGGGAAUUUUGGACAAUGGGCGCAAGCCUGAUCCAGCCAUGCCGCGUGAGUGAAGAAGGCCUUCGGGUUGUAAAGCUCUUUUGCAAGGAAAGAAAACUUAUCUACUAAUACUAGGUGAGGUUGACGGUACCUUGAUAAGAAGCACCGGCUAACUACGUGCCAGCAGCCGCGGUAAUACGUAGGGUGCGAGCGUUAAUCGGAAUUACUGGGCGUAAAGCGUGCGCAGGCGGUUUUGUAAGUCAGAUGUGAAAUCCCCGGGCUCAACCUGGGAACUGCGUUUGAAACUACAAGGCUAGAGUGUAGAAGAGGGGGGUAGAAUUCCACGUGUAGCAGUGAAAUGCGUAGAGAUGUGG
RNAcentral lists this ribosomal RNA (700 nucleotides) under uncultured bacterium. RNAcentral describes it as "bacterial SSU rRNA". It matches the Rfam family "Bacterial small subunit ribosomal RNA", at positions 8 to 701 of the family's 1533-position model. The record is from RNAcentral.